UUCUGACUCCCACCUCCCCUGACAACCUCCUCAGCCCCGUCCUCCUCCUCAGCCCCUAAAUCAAGCCUACAAUCCGGAUGUUUGAUGCUGGCUCUGGCAGACAAUAACUUUCCAUGGGUUUUACAGAGAGAGGACAGGAGACCCUCUCCGUCAGCAACACCAAGAUCACGACCAGGAGAAGAACACGUUCAGCUGAGACCUUGUAAGUAGGAUACAAACCUUUAUACUACAAAAUGAUGCAUAGCUCAGUUGGUAGAGCAUGGCACAUGCAGUGCCAGGAUAGUGGGUUUGAUUCCUGUGACCACUCAUAUGUAAAAAAUGUAUGCGUGCAUGGCUGUAAGUCGCUUUGGAUAAAAGCAUAUUCUAAAUGGCAUAUUCUGUAUCAUAUUAUACAUUGAAUGUGUCUUUCAACUAAAUGUGUUUUGAAAUUGCUGUACGCUAAAGGUUGUAUGGAACAUGGCUCAAGUAAAGUGUAACCCACAGUUUUUGACAGCCAGUGAUAGAAAUAUAAUAUGUGAUUAUUUAAAUUCACUGAAGUGUUUAGUGGUCUCUGUUUAAUAAGGCCCAAGAGUGAAUAGAACAACAUUUAUGCAAUGAGAAAUAACACUGAAUUCAUUGAAUGUACCAAGUGUAAUUCACUGUAUCUGGGCGGGGGUUUCAUUUCAACAUCCAGAGUAAUUGUUAACGUGUGUAAACUCUGGAAGAAAAGAAAGCAGGAUGAAUUAUGGCUCCAGGAAGUGUGAUGGAAGAGUUUGUGAAACAUUCGGUCGGUCCUGUGUCUGGAAUUCUUCAACACACAGGUCCAGAAAUAAUACUCGCUUUAUCUCUCUGCCGCACUGCUCGUCCACCUAUAUCAAUACAGUACACUUUUGGUGUCACGAGAACCUUUAAUCUCCAAAAACAUAACAUUUUCAUGGAACAACCUCGUAUUUCCUUGUAGGAUAGAGAUCUGGCGUGUUCUAAAAUGUUGAUGUUUAUUUUAGCCGACAGUGAUGAAACUGUCUUCUUCUUUGAUUAGCCCUAAACGCAGAGGAUGAAGGUGCAGACUUACCAUUAUGCUCUCACAUUAUAAGCUUUUGUACCCACUGUAUUAUCCUUCUCCCUAAAG
Molecule: long non-coding RNA, 1108 nt
Organism: Oncorhynchus tshawytscha (Chinook salmon)
Lineage: Eukaryota; Metazoa; Chordata; Actinopteri; Salmoniformes; Salmonidae
Source: Ensembl